AUUAGCAGCCAUAUCACCCUGCAACUCACAACUGGCAACCCACUGAAGCUAAGCAGGUGUGAGCCUGCUCAGUACCUGGAUGGGAGACUUCCUGGGAAAAACUAAGGUUGCUGCUGGAA
This is a ribosomal RNA of Lepisosteus oculatus (spotted gar), 119 nucleotides long. The record is from Ensembl. NCBI's taxonomy places the organism in Eukaryota, Metazoa, Chordata, Actinopteri, Semionotiformes, Lepisosteidae.